AUUGAACGCUGGCGGCAUGCCUUACACAUGCAAGUCGAACGGCAGCGGACCUUCGGGUGCCGGCGAGUGGCGAACGGGUGAGUAAAGUAUCGGAACGUACCUUUCAGUGGGGGAUAACUGUCCGAAAGGACAGCCAAUACCGCAUAUUCUGUGAGCAGGAAAGCAGGGGAUCGCAAGACCUUGCGCUGAUUGAGCGGCCGAUAUCAGAUUAGCUAGUUGGUGAGGUAAAGGCUCACCAAGGCGACGAUCUGUAGCGGGUCUGAGAGGAUGAUCCGCCACACUGGAACUGAGACACGGUCCAGACUCCUACGGGAGGCAGCAGUGGGGAAUCUUAGACAAUGGGCGCAAGCCUGAUCUAGCCAUGCCGCGUGAGCGAUGAAGGCCUUAGGGUUGUAAAGCUCUUUCAGUGGGGAAGAUAAUGACUGUACCCACAGAAGAAGCCCUGGCUAACUCCGUGCCAGCAGCCGACGG
Molecule: ribosomal RNA, 471 nt
Filed under: uncultured bacterium
Lineage: Bacteria
Description: bacterial SSU rRNA
Rfam family: Bacterial small subunit ribosomal RNA
Source: RNAcentral